Molecule: unclassified non-coding RNA, 3399 nt
Filed under: Leishmania donovani
Lineage: Eukaryota; Euglenozoa; Kinetoplastea; Trypanosomatida; Trypanosomatidae
Description: gene:LdHU3.36.2300(CDS-product:tRNA_pseudouridine _synthase_A_putative)
Source: RNAcentral
GGUCUGUAUGGAAUCCGCACACCCAACACACCCACGCAAACUGCCGUUCUCAGAAGGUGAGGGUGGCUUCUGUGUCUGUGUCUCACACGUUAGUCUCCUUUCUCGCAGCUCUCAUAACAAAGACACUGGCAGUGGGCGUAUGCGGUCGUCGCUGCUAUCUGCGCUGCUCCCAAGGCAGGCAGCAAGGUGCUGCCUCGCAGACCGCACCGUGUGUCGGUUGCACUUUGGAGGGGCAGCAUCAGUGCGGUGGGGCACUACGAGAGGAGCGGAAACACCUCUCCCAAGUUCCACUGCGCAGACUGCGAGCCCUCGGGACAACGCCACGAACAGCCAGGGAAGCUCCAGUAACAUUGCAGGUGAGCCCCGUCGCUCCUCUUCGUCUCAGGAAAGUCGCAGAGAGCGCCGCGGAGGCUCACGUCGCCGUCUCCGGAGGGAACGGCGCCCGCCACGGCGUAUCACGACUCGCUCCUCUCCGUCGUCGCCACAGCCAGCGACCCUUCCCGAUGUCGAUGCAGCGCCUCUGCCGCACUCGCUCGACAUUAGCGCGGCAGAGGACAUAGCCGACGUGGAGAAGUACUUUCCUCGUGCAAUGGCGCACCUCAAAGCCGUCCCAGCAUCCGCAGAGGCCGCCGAGGAGAGUCGUGCUCGCCGCUGGCACGACACAACGCAUGAGGUGAACGCCGAUGGCAUUGUGACGCCGGGAAAGCGUGCUGAGAGGGAGCGGCGGGAGAGCGGACUCGGGUCGUUUUUCGACGAGGGUAGCCUUGACGUACGCGGCGGCAUGUCGGACAAGCUGAGGAGCGGCGCAUACGGCAGCGCCCGCGACGCGGCGGAGCGCGACUCCCCAGACAUCCUCAAGCUCACCGGUGGAAAUGCGCGCCGACACGGCGGGCUUCACCUGGCAACGGAGAGCAACGCGGCACCGGCCGACCAAACGAUUGAGGGCGACCGCGGCGAUGCUGGGGCGUAUCGAGAGUUUGGGGACACCCCUGUGCAGCUGACUGACAUGCUGCGAGAGCGGCUGAUGGAGCUCAGGGCGAGAAAGCUGCGAGAGGAGCGCAGCGAGACGUUUCUGCCGCAGCGGCUUCGCCACCGCCCCGCCGGGGAGCUUCUCAUGCUGGCUCAGCAAGGCGAAGCCGCGGGGGUGGAGGCUGGCGGUCGAGUUGCAACGUUGCAACCAACGCCGGCCGCCUUGCAGCGCAAAAUUGCACAGCUGCGCAGCGGCGCUGCCGCCACUACCUUGGCUGAUCUGGUGCCGAAGGAAGAAGAGGAGGAAGAGAAGGCAACGCUGCUGGGCGACGCGGCGCGGGACGAUGCACGACGUGGGACCUGCGACAGGGCCAUUCUGCAAGACGGGGUGGCACCUGCCCGGGUUGCCAAUGCAAUGCAGGCCGUGAGCGGCACCGACGACUCCGUGCCGGGCGCCUCCCCGCACGAUCCACUGCGUCGCUUGGUUGCCAUCGCCGCCAACACCGGACGUCGCGCCUCAGUUUUCGGGACGGGGGACGGUGCGAGCGUCUCGGCCGAAGGGGUUGAGCGGGCUGGAUUCGUGCACCUCCUGCGCACCUUACCUCGAGCCGGCUUCUGCAGUCGACGCGAGGCGGCCGCCAUCAUCGCGAGUGGGCAGGUGCGUGUUAACAACGUGACGGAACGCAACCCAUUCCGUCUAGUGCAGGCACAGGACGACGUGCACGUUGCCGGGCACCAGUCCCGCUUGCGCUUUGCGCCGCCGCGGCUGUGGAUAUACCAUAAGCCAGCCCACGUAAUCGUCUCCCGCAACGAUGCAGCGGGGCGCACUCUCAUCACCAAGCAUGCGCGCAUCCUCGGUAUGGACCACCUGGUCCCGGUCGGCUCGCUGCCCAUGCGGGCUCACGGCAUCCUCCUCCUCACGAACGACGGUGAGCUUUCGCGCUUCUUGGAGAACCCCAAGUCGAUGGUGCAGAGGACCUACCUGCUGCGCGUCCGGCCAGCCUUUGACCCUGUCCUUGUGCACAAGCUCAACACAGAGGGUAUUCACAUCAACGGGCGCCUCUAUCGCAACGCAGAGUUCUUCGUCAACCCUGCCACCAAGUCGCGCUACUCGGUCAAGGUCAAGGUGCGUGGCGAAUCGAUGCCCAUCGCGCACCUGAUGCAGCAUCUCGGCCGCACGGUGGAGCGUGGCGGACGCAUCUCGUUCGGGCCCUUUGCCCUGUCCAACCUCGCCGUCGGCUCCGUUCGCGAGGUGACCAUCCCGCCGUUCUACUCGCAGCACCUCGGCGCCGUUUGGCAGCCGUUCGUUGAGCGCGAUUGGCCAUACUUUCGCCGCCAGCGAGUUUCGCGGCUUCGCAGACUGUGCCAGCACCGAGAGCUCACGCCAAAGGAACUUGAGGAGCUCGACAACUACACCUACGAAGAGGUCAAAGAUGCGCUGAACUUCGAGUCGAGCGAAUUGCAGACACUGGCGGAGCAGCGGGCACAACUGCUGCGACGUGCGAGGCACCUGCGUGAUGAUAUGCUUCCGCUUCCAGGCGACUUCCCCAAAGAAUCGUGCCGCAGGAGUGUGGGGGAUGUGACCGUCGAUGGCGCAGCCGCACCCUUUGCAGACGCGGAUGAGGAAGAGGACGAGGACGCUAUUGUCGAGGAUAUCACUUCCUUUCGCUGAGGUGUGCGGGGCUUUGCCGGUGGUGGCCUUCACAUCUGUUUUUUUUUUUGUGGGGGGGUUGAUGUGACUGGGCGUUGUCUGCUGCGCGCGCCGCGCCGGCCGUCACACCGUUAAGCAUAGUCACUUUGCCUGUGCGUGUGGCGUAGCCCGUCGCACCCGGCUUCCUUGUCUGCAGGGACUACGUGUCAACCAGGAGAGGGAGUACGAUCUGUAAUGGCAACUGCGCAAACUUCCAUUGUGACAUCUCUCGUGUGUGCUCGCUGUCAGAAAGCAUGGUCGUCGGAUAACCAGCUGCACAGACAAGCAGGGAAGAAAAUCAUGACUAGGGAAAAGGGGACUGCUGCCUCUGUGCCACUCUUGUCAAGUGCAGCAACCCUCUCUCUCUCAUCUCGUCUUCAGUGUAAUCCUCCUCCAAAACGCCUCUUUCUGCCGAGUUUCUGUUGAACUCAACUCUCUGGGAGCGUAGCGGUGUGCACAUGCGUGCUCUCUCUCUCUCUCUCUGCCAUCCAUUGCCCUCUCUCUCCCCCACUCCUUUUUUUCUUGCUUGCGUGUGUGCGUGUUUGAAUGUGUGGUGCGCGCCUAUUGUUUUCCUUUUUUUUGCGUUGCGGGGCGUCGUCCUCGUUUGUUUGCUGGACAUCGACGACAUUGGUUGCCGUUUUGCUGUUCUCCGCGUCACUCCUCACCGCACUUUCUUCCCCCCUCCUCCGUUCACUGCUUGUGUGUUGCACGUCGGCACUUGACCGAACCGCACACGUCAG